This 404-nucleotide ribosomal RNA is filed under the name uncultured bacterium. RNAcentral describes it as "bacterial SSU rRNA". It matches the Rfam family "Bacterial small subunit ribosomal RNA", at positions 362 to 758 of the family's 1533-position model. The record is from RNAcentral.
UCUUCGGCAAUGGACGCAAGUCUGACCGAGCAACGCCGCGUGAGUGAAGAAGGUUUUCGGAUCGUAAAACUCUGUUGUAAGAGAAGAACGUUGAUGAGAGUGGAAAGUUCAUCAAGUGACGGUAUCUUACCAGAAAGCCACGGCUAACUACGUGCCAGCAGCCGCGGUAAUACGUAGGUGGCAAGCGUUCUCCGGAUUUAUUGGGCGUAAAGCGAGCGCAGGCGGUUGAUUAAGUUUGAUGUGAAAGCCCCCGGCUCAACCGGGGAGGGUCAUUGGAAACUGGUCAACUUGAGUGCAGAAGAGGAGAGUGGAAUUCCAUGUGUAGCGGUGAAAUGCGUAGAUAUAUGGAGGAACACCAGUGGCGAAGGCGGCUCUCUGGUCUGUAACUGACGCUAGGCUCGAAA